Molecule: ribosomal RNA, 253 nt
Filed under: uncultured bacterium
Lineage: Bacteria
Description: partial 16S ribosomal RNA
Rfam family: Bacterial small subunit ribosomal RNA
Source: RNAcentral
UACGAAGGGGGCUAGCGUUGCUCGGAAUCACUGGGCGUAAAGGGCGCGUAGGCGGAUCUUUAAGUCAGGGGUGAAAGCCUGAGGCUCAACCUCAGAAUUGCCUUUGAUACUGAAGAUCUUGAGACCGGAAGAGGUAAGUGGAACUGCGAGUGUAGAGGUGAAAUUCGUAGAUAUUCGCAAGAACACCAGUGGCGAAGGCGGCUUACUGGUCCGGUUCUGACGCUGAGGCGCGAAAGCGUGGGUAGCAAACAGG